This 217-nucleotide unclassified non-coding RNA is filed under the name Hevea brasiliensis (rubber tree). Lineage: Eukaryota; Viridiplantae; Streptophyta; Magnoliopsida; Malpighiales; Euphorbiaceae. The record is from RNAcentral.
UCGCGUGCGCAGAUGACGCGCAUCAUCGAUGAUAUCGCCUGUUAUACACGGCGCGAUGUGUUAAGCUGAAUUUUCCCCUAACGCAUUCGAAACAGGCAGGCAGACGCAAUGCCACUGCCCGUGUUUGCGCGGCAUUUUUCAUGAAAGCAAUUGCNNGUCAUUUUGGACGCAAUCUUAACCGUGUCAUUUUACUCAAAUGAAAUUCCCCCAUGCGCCU